Small nucleolar RNA from Macaca mulatta (Rhesus monkey), 112 nucleotides. Lineage: Eukaryota; Metazoa; Chordata; Mammalia; Primates; Cercopithecidae. The record is from Ensembl.
AUCAUUUGAGGUUGCUUUUGUAACUUAAGUGUGAUGAUUGAGUUCGCAUGUGCACGUGUGAGAUGUGCCCCCUUGAACCUUGUUACAGCAUGGCCACAUUACCCAUCUGACA